GUGACCUGGAGGCUUUAGUCUCUUCGGCAGGAAUAUUUCACUUGUCUUCUUGAAGACUUGAUGGCAUCAUUGUACAGUAGCUGAUUGGGAAGUUCUGCUCUUCAAGUCAGUUGCUUCCUCGGGAUGGGGAGAUGGGAAAAUGAUCAUUUCAGGAACUGUGAAGUGUUAAAGAGAAAGUAUAUUAGAACUAUUAUGAAGUCACAGGAGAAGCCAUAUGAGUUGUCAGUGGUUGCUGUCUUUGCUACCCUUUCUUAAUGAUGCUGGCUCCCAUAUCUCAGCUUCAACUAGAGUCCUUUCAUAGAAUUGUCCCUCUCCCUCUCCCUCCCCCUCCCUCCCCCUCCCCCUCCCCCUCUCCCCACGGUCUCCCUCUCCCUCUCUUUCCACGGUCUCCCUCUGAUGCCAAGAUGAAGCUGGACUGUACUGCUGCCUUCUCGGCUCACUGCAACCUCCCUGCCUGAUUCUCCUGCCUCAGCCUGCCCAGUGCCUGGGA
This 490-nucleotide long non-coding RNA is filed under the name Homo sapiens (human). RNAcentral describes it as "HSALNT0315249". The record is from RNAcentral. Lineage: Eukaryota; Metazoa; Chordata; Mammalia; Primates; Hominidae.